RNAcentral lists this ribosomal RNA (802 nucleotides) under uncultured bacterium. RNAcentral's name for it is "bacterial SSU rRNA". It matches the Rfam family "Bacterial small subunit ribosomal RNA", at positions 46 to 896 of the family's 1533-position model. The record is from RNAcentral.
GCCUAACACAUGCAAGUCGAACGAAGUAGCAAUACUUAGUGGCAGACGGGUGAGUAACAUGUGGGUAUCUGCCCUUUGGCCUGGAAUAACACGAGGAAACUUGUGCUAAUACCGGAUAAGUCUUUACGGAGAAAGCUUUAUGCACCAUUGGAUGAGCCCGCACUUGAUUAGUUAGUUGGUAGGGUAAUGGCCUACCAAGACUGUGAUCAAUAGCUGAUUUGAGAGGAUGAUCAGCCACAUUGGGACUGAGACACGGCCCAAACUCCUACGGGAGGCAGCAGUGGGGAAUCUUGCACAAUGGAGGAAACUCUGAUGCAGCGAUGCCGCGUGAGUGAAGAAGGCCCUUGGGUUGUAAAGCUCUUUCGUCGGGGAAGAAAAUGACUGUACCCGAAUAAGAAGGUCCGGCUAACUUCGUGCCAGCAGUCGCGGUAAUACGAAGGGACCUAGCGUAGUUCGGAAUUACUGGGCUUAAAGAGUUCGUAGGUGGUUGAAAAAGUUGGUGGUGAAAUCCCAGAGCUUAACUCUGGAACUGCCAUCAAAACUUUUCAGCUAGAGUAUGAUAGAGGAAAGCAGAAUUUCUAGUGUAGAGGUGAAAUUCGUAGAUAUUAGAAAGAAUACCAAUUGCGAAGGCAGCUUUCUGGAUCAUUACUGACACUGAGGAACGAAAGCAUGGGUAGCGAAGAGGAUUAGAUACCCUCGUAGUCCAUGCCGUAAACGAUGUGUGUUAGACGUUGGAAAUUUAUUUUCAGUGUCGCAGCGAAAGCGAUAAACACACCGCCUGGGGAGUACGACCGCAAGGUUA